RNAcentral lists this transfer RNA (70 nucleotides) under bovine gut metagenome. It matches the Rfam family "tRNA". From Rfam's summary of the family: Transfer RNA (tRNA) molecules are approximately 80 nucleotides in length. Their secondary structure includes four short double-helical elements and three loops (D, anti-codon, and T loops). Further hydrogen bonds mediate the characteristic L-shaped molecular structure. tRNAs have two regions of fundamental functional importance: the anti-codon, which is responsible for specific mRNA codon recognition, and the 3' end, to which the tRNAs corresponding amino acid is attached (by aminoacyl-tRNA synthetases). tRNAs cope with the degeneracy of the genetic code in two manners: having more than one tRNA (with a specific anti-codon) for a particular amino acid; and 'wobble' base-pairing, i.e. permitting non-standard base-pairing at the 3rd anti-codon position. The record is from RNAcentral.
GCGGGAUAGCUCAGUUGGUUAGAGCAACGGAAUCAUAAUCCGUGUGUCGAGGGUUCGAAUCCCCCUCCCG